Long non-coding RNA from Acanthopagrus latus (yellowfin seabream), 550 nucleotides. RefSeq lists it as uncharacterized. The transcript is spliced from 2 exons. NCBI's taxonomy places the organism in Eukaryota, Metazoa, Chordata, Actinopteri, Spariformes, Sparidae. The record is from RefSeq and is a predicted model, not a curated record.
CGCCCUGCAACAAAUCACCUCUCGUGAGAUUUCAGUGUGAGACUUCUCCGUGAGCGAGACUUGUGUUUCCGGUCUCAGUGCGACAACAUUACAGUAAAUCGUUCCUACAGAGACUUGGAGUAACAACCUCAGCCUGUCAGUGGCAGGAACAGGCACUACUGACGGUAAUAGCUGCCCCAAAGGAUUCCACUGCAGCCGGGGCAGCUGAGGAGAGCUACUGCGCUGAUCUCGACACUUCUGGAUGUCGGGGGUGAUCUUACAGGGGAUGCUUCCCCUCCUGAGUCAUGUUAGUUCAUGUUUACAUCGGACGUCCCUCUGCUCCUGUAAGGCUGCACGGUCCAGGAUAGUGAUCCGCCACGAGGGGGAUGAAGAUCCAGGAAGUGACCGGAGAGCACGGCUAUCAAAUGUUUAACAGGGAGCGCUGAGGGGAGUCGGCGUUACCCCAGAGAUUUGUUUUAUCCCUACGGAAACUUUAUCCGAUUAAUGAAUGUCUCAGUAGUUAUUUUUCUAGUGGAAUAAACAAUAACAGCAUAAACUAAAAAAAAAAUAA